CUGCAGCCAGUUACAAAGCCAGACUCCUCCGCUCAUGGGGCCUGGUGCGCAGUGGCUGCAGGCAGCAGCCCCUUGCUGGUGCACAUAGCCUGCUGUUUCAUGAGCUGUCCCUAGGGACCUGAGAGAGCUUU
Molecule: small nucleolar RNA, 131 nt
Organism: Peromyscus maniculatus bairdii (prairie deer mouse)
Lineage: Eukaryota; Metazoa; Chordata; Mammalia; Rodentia; Cricetidae
Gene: SNORA70
Rfam family: Small nucleolar RNA SNORA70
About the family: snoRNA U70 seems to be exclusive to mammals and is a member of the H/ACA class of snoRNA which contain H (ANANNA) and ACA box motifs. H/ACA box snoRNAs are involved in the conversion of uridines to pseudouridines (5-ribosyluracil) a constituent of structural RNAs (transfer, ribosomal, small nuclear, and small nucleolar).
Source: Ensembl